GACGUAGGGCGCGAGCGUUGUCCGGAUUUAUUGGGCGUAAAGAGCUCGUAGGCGGUUUGUCACGUCGACUGUGAAAACCCGCAGCUCAACUGCGGGCCUGCAGCCGAUACGGGCAGGCUAGAGUUCGGUAGGGGAGACUGGAAUUCCUGGUGUAGCGGUGAAAUGCGCAGAUAUCAGGAGGAACACCUGCGGCGAAGGCGGGUUGCUGGGCUGACACUGACGCUGAGGCGCGAAAGCGUGGGGAGCGAACAGG
Molecule: ribosomal RNA, 253 nt
Filed under: uncultured bacterium
Lineage: Bacteria
Description: partial 16S ribosomal RNA
Rfam family: Bacterial small subunit ribosomal RNA
Source: RNAcentral